AUACGUAGGGAGCGAGCGUUGUCCGGAAUUACUGGGCGUAAAGGGUGCGUAGGCGGCAAGGCAAGUCAGGUGUGAAAUCCCCGGGCUUAACUCGGGGGGUGCAUUUGAAACUGCUUUGCUUGAGUACAGGAGAGGAAAGCGGAAUUCCUAGUGUAGCGGUGAAAUGCGUAGAUAUUAGGAGGAACACCAGUGGCGAAGGCGGCUUUCUGGACUGUCACUGACGCUGAGGCACGAAAGCGUGGGGAGC
RNAcentral lists this ribosomal RNA (247 nucleotides) under uncultured bacterium. RNAcentral describes it as "partial 16S ribosomal RNA". It matches the Rfam family "Bacterial small subunit ribosomal RNA", at positions 523 to 769 of the family's 1533-position model. The record is from RNAcentral.